RNAcentral lists this non-coding RNA (28 nucleotides) under Rattus norvegicus (Norway rat). The record is from RNAcentral. Lineage: Eukaryota; Metazoa; Chordata; Mammalia; Rodentia; Muridae.
UGGCACUUUUAGAUGACAUGAUCUCACA